CACGGACCGCACGAACGUUAUUCGGUAUCACUGGGCUUAAAGGGUGCGUAGGCGGCUUGGCAAGUUGGGUGUGAAAGCCCUCGGCUCAACCGAGGAAUUGCGCUCAAAACUGCCGAGCUCGAGAGAGACAGAGGUAAGCGGAACUGAUGGUGGAGCGGUGAAAUGCGUUGAUAUCAUCAGGAACACCGGUGGCGAAGGCGGCUCUCUGGGACGGUACUGACGCUGAGACGCGAAAGCGUGGGGAGCGAACAGG
This 253-nucleotide ribosomal RNA is filed under the name uncultured bacterium. RNAcentral describes it as "partial 16S ribosomal RNA". It matches the Rfam family "Bacterial small subunit ribosomal RNA", at positions 524 to 776 of the family's 1533-position model. The record is from RNAcentral.